RNAcentral lists this ribosomal RNA (459 nucleotides) under uncultured bacterium. Its description in RNAcentral is "partial 16S ribosomal RNA". It matches the Rfam family "Bacterial small subunit ribosomal RNA", at positions 338 to 795 of the family's 1533-position model. The record is from RNAcentral.
CCUACGGGGGGCAGCAGUGAGGAAUAUUGGUCAAUGGUCGGGAGACUGAACCAGCCAAGCCGCGUGAGGGAUGAAGGUACAGAGUAUCGUAAACCUCUUUUGUCAGGGAACAAAGGCGGGGACGUGUCCCCGGAUGAGUGUACCUGAAGAAAAAGCAUCGGCUAACUCCGUGCCAGCAGCCGCGGUAAUACGGAGGAUGCGAGCGUUAUCCGGAUUUAUUGGGUUUAAAGGGUGCGCAGGCGGUCUGUUAAGUCAGCGGUCAAAGCCCGGGGCUCAACCCCGGCCAGCCGUUGAAACUGGUAGUCUUGAGUGGGAGAGAAGUAUGCGGAAUGCGCGGUGUAGCGGUGAAAUGCAUAGAUAUCGCGCAGAACUCCGAUUGCGAAGGCAGCAUGCCGGCUCCACACUGACGCUGAGGCACGAAAGCGUGGGUAUCGAACAGGAUUAGAUACCCUUGUAGUC